ACGGAAGGCAGCAGUGGGGAAUAUUGCACAAUGGGGGAAACCCUGAUGCAGCGACGCCGCGUGAGUGAAGAAGUUAUUCGUAAUGUAAAGCUCUAUCAGCAGGGAAGAAAAUGACGGUACCUGACUAAGAAGCCCCGGCUAACUACGUGCCAGCAGCCGCGGUAAUACGUAGGGGGCAAGCGUUAUCCGGAUUUACUGGGUGUAAAGGGAGCGUAGACGGUCUAGCAAGUCUGAUGUGAAAGGCAGGGGCUCAACUCCUGGACUGCAUUGGAAACUGUUAGUCUUGAGUGUCGGAGAGGUAAGCGGAAUUCCUAGUGUAGCGGUGAAAUGCGUAGAUAUUAGGAGGAACACCAGUGGCGAAGGCGGCUUACUGGACAAUAACUGACGUUGAGGCUCGAAAGCGUGGGGAGCAAACAGGAUUAGAUACCCUGGUA
This 434-nucleotide ribosomal RNA is filed under the name uncultured Lachnospiraceae bacterium. RNAcentral's name for it is "partial 16S ribosomal RNA". It matches the Rfam family "Bacterial small subunit ribosomal RNA", at positions 341 to 792 of the family's 1533-position model. Lineage: Bacteria; Bacillati; Bacillota; Clostridia; Lachnospirales; Lachnospiraceae. The record is from RNAcentral.